RNAcentral lists this ribosomal RNA (814 nucleotides) under Streptomyces sp. E32chef8. Its description in RNAcentral is "bacterial SSU rRNA". It matches the Rfam family "Bacterial small subunit ribosomal RNA", at positions 103 to 927 of the family's 1533-position model. Lineage: Bacteria; Bacillati; Actinomycetota; Actinomycetes; Kitasatosporales; Streptomycetaceae. The record is from RNAcentral.
CGGGUGAGUCCCAUUGUGGGCAAUCUGCCCUGCACUCUGGGACAAGCCCUGGAAACGGGGUCUAAUACCGGAUACUGACCGUCACGGGCAUCCGUGAGGGUCGAAAGCUCCGGCGGUGCAGGAUGAGCCCGCGGCCUAUCAGCUUGUUGGUGAGGUAACGGCUCACCAAGGCGACGACGGGUAGCCGGCCUGAGAGGGCGACCGGCCACACUGGGACUGAGACACGGCCCAGACUCCUACGGGAGGCAGCAGUGGGGAAUAUUGCACAAUGGGCGAAAGCCUGAUGCAGCGACGCCGCGUGAGGGAUGACGGCCUUCGGGUUGUAAACCUCUUUCAGCAGGGAAGAAGCGAAAGUGACGGUACCUGCAGAAGAAGCGCCGGCUAACUACGUGCCAGCAGCCGCGGUAAUACGUAGGGCGCGAGCGUUGUCCGGAAUUAUUGGGCGUAAAGAGCUCGUAGGCGGCUUGUCACGUCGGUUGUGAAAGCCCGGGGCUUAACCCCGGGUCUGCAGUCGAUACGGGCAGGCUAGAGUUCGGUAGGGGAGAUCGGAAUUCCUGGUGUAGCGGUGAAAUGCGCAGAUAUCAGGAGGAACACCGGUGGCGAAGGCGGAUCUCUGGGCCGAUACUGACGCUGAGGAGCGAAAGCGUGGGGAGCGAACAGGAUUAGAUACCCUGGUAGUCCACGCCGUAAACGGUGGGCACUAGGUGUGGGCGACAUUCCACGUCGUCCGUGCCGCAGCUAACGCAUUAAGUGCCACGCCUGGGGAGUACGGCCGCAAGGCUAAAAACUCAAGGAAUUGACGGGGGGCCCUGCA